This 253-nucleotide ribosomal RNA is filed under the name uncultured bacterium. Its description in RNAcentral is "partial 16S ribosomal RNA". It matches the Rfam family "Archaeal small subunit ribosomal RNA", at positions 474 to 727 of the family's 1478-position model. The record is from RNAcentral.
UACCAGCACCCCGAGUGGUCGGGACGAUUAUUGGGCCUAAAGCAUCCGUAGCCGGUUCUACAAGUCUUCCGUUAAAUCCACCUGCUUAACAGAUGGGCUGCGGAGGAUACUAUAGAGCUAGGAGGCGGGAGAGGCAAGCGGUACUUAGUGGGUAGGGGUAAAAUCCGUUGAUCCAGUGAAGACCACCAGUGGCGAAGGCGGCUUGCCAGAACGCGCUCGACGGUGAGGGAUGAAAGCUGGGGGAGCAAACCGG